GACGAACGCUGGCGGCGUGCUUAACACAUGCAAGUCGAACGAAGAGCGAUGGAAGCUUGCUUCUAUCAAUCUUAGUGGCGAACGGGUGAGUAACGCGUAAUCAACCUGCCCUUCAGAGGGGGACAACAGUUGGAAACGACUGCUAAUACCGCAUACGAUUUAAUCUCGGCAUCGAGGAUAGAUGAAAGGUGGCCUCUACAUGUAAGCUAUCACUGAAGGAGGGGAUUGCGUCUGAUUAGCUAGUUGGAGGGGUAACGGCCCACCAAGGCGAUGAUCAGUAGCCGGUCUGAGAGGAUGAACGGCCACAUUGGGACUGAGACACGGCCCAGACUCCUACGGGAGGCAGCAGUGGGGAAUCUUCCGCAAUGGACGAAAGUCUGACGGAGCAACGCCGCGUGAGUGAUGACGGCCUUCGGGUUGUAAAGCUCUGUUAAUCGGGACGAAAGGCCUUCUUGCGAAUAGUGAGAAGGAUUGACGGUACCGGAAAGAAAGCC
Molecule: ribosomal RNA, 494 nt
Filed under: Veillonella parvula
Lineage: Bacteria; Bacillati; Bacillota; Negativicutes; Veillonellales; Veillonellaceae
Description: bacterial SSU rRNA
Rfam family: Bacterial small subunit ribosomal RNA
Source: RNAcentral